GCCCCCCCCGGCCGCGGGGCUCCGCCGCGCCCCCCCGGCCGCCGCCCGGCUCAGGACACCGCUGUCCGUCCAUCCGUCCGUCCGUCCGUCGGUUCGCCCCCCCCCACACGCGUCCGCUUCCGCACCGUGUACGGGAGCAGUGGCUCGGUACGGUGGGAGGCUGUCAGCUCCCAAACCCGGGUCUCAGGAGCCCGGGAUGCGCUUAACAAGCCCCUAAAUUGCGUUUUAAAGCUUUUCCCGGCGGUGGCGGCUGCAAAGCCGGUUGGAACGGAAGACGCAGCUCAAGCAAGGGAAAGGUGGCCAAGAGGCAUCCCGUUACUCAAGGGCCGGCUCUUCUGGAAAAGGGUCGGGCAUUGUGCAAAUGUCGCCGAACUGCAAGGGCUUGCAUCGAGAGUUUGUGUAGUCGCUGAUAAGUAAAGACAAGAGAAGAGCCAAAAUAAUUACAAUGAUGUUUCCCACUCCCGUUACGUUUCUCCCUGAGAUUAAAAUUCUGACAAAUUGUCCUGAGCUUCUAAAGUUUUCAAAGAAAAAAUUAAUCAUGCUUUUUCAAAGAAAAAUGAAUAAAGUAAAAGGUGGACAUGCAAAAUGAAAAAGUACAUGGAGACUCCACACCAGGAGUACGAACAGUCGCAGAACUACUUGCUGCAGGAUGUGCGCACACCGAAGUGUGGGUGGGCUGGGUAAUGACUGGGUGAGUGAAUGGCAAAAAAAUACUUGAGGGCAGUGGAGUACAAAGGCAGUGUGCCUGACCCAGAAUGUUCCUGAACCACGAACUCCCGGGAGCCAGGGGUGUUUUGGGGGCGAAUCACUGAACAGUUGUCUAUUCCUGCUGUCCGCCUUAGAAGGGACUGUUAGCUGUUGCUGGUAACCCCAUAUGCUGGGCUACACGGACCCGGGGCUGAGAGGUCUUCAUUCUGAUACUGCCUGUCUGAGUGGUGUGGUACUGGGUCUGUGCUCACAGAAUUUAACCGACUCACAAAGCCCCAGGUACUGCUGCUUGGUGGCUAGAAGAAAAGAAGAGAGAGAGCCGAUUGGAUUUUGUAACAUAAUAUGAAGCAUGACGCUGCCAAAUGGCUCGGUUCCAUGUAAAAGUAGCACCAGGUGAGCAGGCUCUCAUCAGCCUCCUCACCAUGCCAGCAUUCGGACCAGGGUCCUGCUGCGGGGUGGUGAGAAAUGCAGAAAGACACAGACUGCCGGACCCUUGGGCGAUGCAGGCAUAAGGGCAGAGCAGGCACGAUGCGCUGGCUUGCCUGUAUGAGGCAGGUCACCACCUGAUGUUUAAUGGACUGCUGGCACGGCAGAGGCCACAGGCUGAGAAACACUUGACAGUGACCAUUACUGCAGAUGAGAUGCUGGGUCAGGCAGGACUUUGAUUGGACCAAAAUGGCAAUUCAGAUGUUCUCAAGACAAUUUGAGAACGGAAGAAAAACAGGCUUCCAGGCCGUAUGCCAUCAUUUACCAGCAUGGCUCAGCAUCCCGACAGUUCCGUGGGGCCGACUUGUAAGAAAUGUGGAAUAACUGAGAUGAACAACUGAGAUGCUGAAUUCAUUUCACAAAGCAAAAUAUUUGGACUGCUAGAAAAAGAAAAAAAAAAAAGGAACUGGCGUGGGAGUAAGUGGGGAACUCCGUAUAGAAACAGGAAGUAUCGUGUGGCUGAUAGGAAAUGGGUGCAAAGCAUCUGUUUUGGUAGUAUUUUCGCUUGUUUUGGGGGUAUUUCCAUAGUGAACUGGAAAUUGGCCUUGUGUGUAGGUAUUACUUCACUGAUGAGCGAAAGGAAGGCACUAAUUUGGAGCACAGCACAGCAGCUGUCAGCAUUACUGCACAGCAACACCGCACAACAGCUGAAGGCCACUCGUGUAAAACACAACAUCCCACUGAGGCUGUGGAUGACUGUAGAGCUGCUCUGACCUGCCAUAAAGUGUAAACAGCCCUUUGACUUCUAUAAAAACAGAAAGCUGUCUUCCAGGCUGCCUUUUCUGACUAGGAUCACUUCUGCCUCCAGAAAUGCUGGGAUACAACCCCAUCGACACUACAAAAACUACAAGGCAGCAAGAAUCACAAAAUGGUGAAGGCUGGAAGGGCCCUCUGGAGGCCAUCUUGACCCCAACCCCUGGUCAGGCAGGGUCACCCAGAGCAGGUUGCCCAGGACCAUGUCCAGGCAGCUUUUGAAGAUCUCCAAGGAGGAGACUCCACAGCCUCUCUGGGCAACCUGUGCCAGUGCUCCAUCACCUGUACAGUACAGAGGUGCUUCCUGAUGUUCAGACAGAACCUUCUGUGUUCCAGUUUUUGUCCACGGCUUCUUGUCCUGGCACUAGGCAUCACUAAAAAGAGCCUGGCUCCAUCUUCAUUGCUCUUCCCUUCAGGUAUUUAUAUACGUUGAUGAGAUCCUCCCUGAACCUUCUCUUCUCCAGGCUGAACAGUUCCAGGUCUCAGUCUCUCCUCAUAGGAGAGAUGCUCCAGUCCCUUCAUCAUCUUCAUAGCACUGUGUUGGACUCCUUCCAGAAUGUCCAUGUCUCUUGUUCUAUGGAGCUCAGAAGUGGGCACAGCACACCAGGUGUGGCCUCACCAGUGCUGAACAGAAAGGAAGGAUCAACUCCCUUGACCUGCUGGCAACACUGCUUGAUACAGCCUAGGAUAACAGUGCCCUGCUUUGCUACAAGGACACAUUGCUGGCUCAUGUUCAACUUGGUCCUUUUCUGACAAACUGCCUUCCAGAUGGGCGGCCCCCAGCUCCUCCUUGGAGUGAUCUUUUUUUCCUUAAUCUUUUCCUGCAUUUCACUUUGUUUACUCCCUCAGACCCUUCUUUCUUCUUCACUGUUCCUGUUUGAAGACAGCACUCUGAAAGCAACAUCUUCAGCUACAGUCACCUUCAAAGGAACAUCAUCAGCUCAAAGUCAUCUUCAAAAUUGUUUAAAGUGAAAGAGAUCACUUUAACAUAUUUUUAUUGCAUAAGGUAGAGUCAAAUAUAAUUAAAAAAUUGCCUCCAGCCAAGAAGGAUGUUAAGAAACUGGAGAGAGCCUAGUGGAGGGCUACCAGAAUGGUCAGGGGGUCUAUUUACAAAACCAUUGAGAACAGGCUGAAGAGCUGGGUUUUGUAAGAGCAGGAUUUGUUUAUUCUGAUAAAAAGGAGAUCAAAGGCAGUUGAAAGCAGCCUAGCCCUACCAGUACUUGAAGAGGAGCUACAUUGACACCAAAAUUUUCUCAGUGGUAACAGGAGGUGCAAAAGGGGGCAAUGGCAGCAAUAUCAGUGUUCGGUCUAGACAUUAUGAGACAGAAUACCCAUCUGAGGGUAUUGCAGCCCUUGAACAGGCUUCUUUAAGAGAGGGAAAAAUCCAUGUCCCCAGAAAUUUCUAAACCUCAGCUAGGCAAAGCCACACUGACCUGCUCCACUGCUGGUCAUAGGCUGGCCUUGGGAAGGGAUGGGAUGGGAUGGGAUGGGAUGGUCCCUCUAAAAAUCACUGUAACACUGCAAAAUGAGGUUCUUAUCCUCUUAAAACACGUAGUGUAGGGUCUGGCAUGCUCUCCAUUAGUUAGCCAGUCCUUUCUGAACUACAGGUGGGUUUUUUGUCUGGAAGAAGAGAAAUUUUAUUUUCUUUUGAAGGGAGGGGUAAUAUAAACUAACCUAAACAGUUUCAGUAAUUCUGGGAUAAGUGGAAUACUUGUGAAUACUUUUCUUUCUUUGAAUUGAAUGUAUUUCAUGAAGGCAGUGUCCCCUUGGUCUUCAUUUCCCAUCAAAACUCUAUAUUCUUGUGUUUGCUGAAAGAUGUUCAGGCACAGAGUAAUGCUGACAUUCUAGCAAAUAUGCUUCCAGCAGAGCAGAAUCUGUAGUUUCGGUGGUUAAAACUGCAUUGCAAUUCUGAUACAUCUGUAACGUAGCAACAGAUGUAAGAGGAAAAAGUUUGUGUGAACAGAGAAGUAUCUGUCCUUCAGUCAGGCUGCUCCUGAGCUGCAGAGUGAUUCUAAAUGUAGUAUUACAGAUGGCAUUAUACUUCAUCUUAAAGGAUAUGUAUAGAUCUCAGGGCAUGGUAGGUCACCCUGUAUUAGAACUUGCAUGAUCUCAGAUCUAUAAACCAGUGUCUUCAUUUUUAGGUAGGCAAGUAGAGUCCUUAGUUUUAGUGGGAUGAUUUACAUCCACGUGAUUAUGCAUACGUGUGUUUAUAUAAGUUCUUUAUUUGUUGAUUCAAUAUUUAUGAUUUUUCUGCAAGUUAUUCUCAUGAAAUCUUUGCUCAAAUAACAGUUUUGUUUGUUUUGUUUUGUUUUCUGGGAUUGUCCACAGGCACCCAAUGCCUUUUGUGGAGAGGUGUUUCUUUCACAGCUUCCAAUUCCUUCUCAGGAAUAAAUUCACUUAUCUUAACUUGCAUGUCUUAAAUACUUUUUUUUAGAACAUAGGCUGUAAGCCACAAUCUUGUAUUUGCUGCAAUUACUUUUAACAUACUUGCAUACCUCAUUUUUUGUGCAACUAUAUUAAAAGCAGCAACAAUUUUCCAUCUGUUUUAAUUUGCAGCAAAUGAGUUUAUGCUGCUUUGUUUUAGGAAGACAAGAGCUUGUCUUCUUCAGUAAUUAUCUCCAGACAAUGCUGGUUGAAUGAUGUGAUAGGCUAAAUGAAAAUGAUAGUUUAUCUCAGGUAAACUAAGCAAUUUUGUUCCAACAUAUUCAAGUCUGAUUAUAAUAAAAGGCUUUGAAUUC
This is a long non-coding RNA of Cygnus olor (mute swan), 4685 nucleotides long. RefSeq lists it as uncharacterized. NCBI's taxonomy places the organism in Eukaryota, Metazoa, Chordata, Aves, Anseriformes, Anatidae. The record is from RefSeq and is a predicted model, not a curated record. The transcript has 4 exons.